RNAcentral lists this ribosomal RNA (122 nucleotides) under Microcebus murinus (gray mouse lemur). The record is from RNAcentral. Lineage: Eukaryota; Metazoa; Chordata; Mammalia; Primates; Cheirogaleidae.
GUUUAUAGCCGUAUCACCCUGAAAACACCUGAUUUCAUCUGAUCUUGGAAGCUAAGCAGGGUCGGGCCUGGUUGUACUUGGAUGGGAGAAUACUGCUUCACACACCUUAAGUGUGACAAGCU